UCUCUAAUAGCUCAAUUGGUUAGAGCUUUCGACUGUUAAUCGGGUGGUUAUUGGUUCAAAUCCAAUUUAGGGAG
Molecule: transfer RNA, 74 nt
Filed under: Proteromonas lacertae
Lineage: Eukaryota; Bigyra; Opalinata; Proteromonadidae
Description: tRNA-Asn
Rfam family: tRNA
About the family: Transfer RNA (tRNA) molecules are approximately 80 nucleotides in length. Their secondary structure includes four short double-helical elements and three loops (D, anti-codon, and T loops).
Source: RNAcentral